Mirounga angustirostris (Northern elephant seal) is the source of this 1465-nucleotide long non-coding RNA. RefSeq lists it as uncharacterized. The record is from RefSeq and is a predicted model, not a curated record. NCBI's taxonomy places the organism in Eukaryota, Metazoa, Chordata, Mammalia, Carnivora, Phocidae. The transcript has 3 exons.
CGCCGCCCGGCCCCGCCCCUCGCCGGCCUGCGUCAAAGGCGGGCGGCCGCGGUUGAGGGCAUCGUGGGCCGUGGGGUUUCUCCCACUGGUCCGCGGGGCUGGUCCGGACCGGGACUCAGGGCCGCAGGCGGCGCUGUCUCAUCACCGCUGAGGCGCGAAGAACGGCCGCCCCGAGCACCGCACGGUAGUGGACAAGCAGCGCGGAGGCACGAAUGUCACCAUGAUCAGUGGGGACACAAGGGCGCCAGACAGAUACGCGGGCACCCUGAGCCGGCAUGAAAGUGGAGACAUGCUAGUUAGGAGCAGGGAGAGAUGGGAAGAUGAAGACCAGCAAUCAAUCAAUCAAUCAAUCCAGCAAGAUGAUUCAGCAGAGUCCUGGCACAGCCCUGUCGCACCUCUCAGGGGAGCUGAGAGAAAGGGGUUAAGAAACCUCACUUGCGGGGUGCCUGGGUGGCUCAGUUGUUAAGCGUCAUCUGCCUUCGGCUCAGGUCAUGAUCCCAGGGUCCUGGGAUCCAGGCCCACAUUGGGCUCCCUGCUCUGCGGGAAGCCUGCUUCUCCCUCUCCCACUCCCUCUGCUUGUGUUCCCUCUCUUGCUGUGUCUCUCUCUGUCAAAUAAAUAAAUAAAAUCUUAAAAAAAAAAAAAAAGAUGGGGCGCCUGGGUGGCUCAGAUGGUUAAGCGUCUGCCUUCAGCUUAGGUCAUGAUCCCAGGGUCUUGGGAUGGAGCCCCACAUUGGGCUUCCUGCUCAGCAGGGGGCCUGCUUUCCCCCCACCCCCGGCUCUGCUUCUCCCCCUGCUCAUAUUCUCUCUCUCUCUCUCUCUCUCUCUAUUUCUGUGUCUCGAAUGAAUAAAUAAAAAAAUCUUUAAAAAAAAAAAAAAGAAAGAAAUCUCACUUGGAAGGUAAGCUUGUCUCUUCUGGGGUAGGGCUCCUUCAUCACCUAGAUGAGAUCUGGCCAUGGACAGCAGGAGGGGGCGGGUGACAGGCAAGGUUCAAUUUGAUCACAAAUCUAAAAAAAAAAAAAAAUUUUAUUUUUAAGUAAUCUCUACACCCAACAUGGGGCUCAAACUCAUGCCCAUGAGAUCAAGAGUCACAUACUCCUCUGACUGAGCCAGCCAGGCACCCCACAAAUCUACUUUUUUAAUGCAUGUUCUUAAAAACCUGAAGGAAAUAUACCAAAAUUAUAGUAGACAUUACAGAUGAUUUCCCCUAUCCAUGCUAGUCCUAUGAAUUUAAAAUUAAUCUUGGGGCCUGGGUGGCUCAGUCAGUUAAGCAUCCAACUCUCGAUCUUGGCUCAUAUCAUGAUCUCAGGUUCCUGGGAUCAAGUCUCAUAUUGGGCUCCACACUCACCGGGGAGUCUGCUUGGGAUUUUCUCUCUCCUCUCCCUGUGCACCCCUGCCCCACUCAUGUGCUCACUCUCUCUCUCUCAAAUAAAUAAAUAAAAUGGCAUCUUGUCUUAUUUGAACUUAA